GAUGAACGCUGGCGGCGUGCCUAAUACAUGCCAGUCGAGCGAACGGACGAGAAGCUUGCUUCUCUGAUGUUAGCGGCGGACGGGUGAGUAACACGUGGAUAACCUACCUAUAAGACUGGGAUAACUUCGGGAAACCGGAGCUAAUACCGGAUAAUAUUUUGAACCGCAUGGUUCAAAAGUGAAAGACGGUCUUGCUGUCACUUAUAGAUGGAUCCGCGCUGCAUUAGCUAGUUGGUAAGGUAACGGCUUACCAAGGCAACGAUGCAUAGCCGACCUGAGAGGGGGGGAGGCAAACGUGGAAAUGCGACACGGUGGAGCGUAAGAAGGGAGGAAGAAGUGGGGGAGGGUAAGGAAUGGGGGAAAGUCGGAAGGAUCAAUGAUGAGGGAGUGAGGAAGGUGUUAGGAGCGGAAAACUCUGUGAGGAGGGAAGAAAAGAGGUGUAAGGAACUGUGCAAACCUUGACGGGACAUAAUAAGAAAGCGACGGCUAACGUAGUG
This 497-nucleotide ribosomal RNA is filed under the name uncultured bacterium. Its description in RNAcentral is "partial 16S ribosomal RNA". It matches the Rfam family "Bacterial small subunit ribosomal RNA", at positions 28 to 507 of the family's 1533-position model. The record is from RNAcentral.